AAGUGAGCAGUCUCCUCCCCGACAAUGAGAUGAGAUGCCCUGUCGUGGUGGACUUGCCCGAAUCCACAUGGCCGAUGACCACAAUGUUGAUGUGGGUCUUCUCUUUGCCCAUGCUGGGAGCUGCUCAGAGAGAGGACAGCCGCCUGCAUCAGCCUGACCCGUGGCAAACCCUGAGUUUGGUGAAUGAAGCAGAAUGACUGCUGCCGCCUUCAGGGCUUGACUCCUGUACGCAUCGUCACCUUUAUGCCACCGCUAACUCUACCUGAGCGCUGAGGGAACUGAGGCUCAGGAGCUGGGAAGAAAGUAGCAGGACUCAAGCUGUCUGACCGCAGAGUCUCCACCA
Neomonachus schauinslandi (Hawaiian monk seal) is the source of this 343-nucleotide long non-coding RNA. RefSeq lists it as uncharacterized. The transcript has 3 exons. The record is from RefSeq and is a predicted model, not a curated record. Lineage: Eukaryota; Metazoa; Chordata; Mammalia; Carnivora; Phocidae.